CUGACUUAAGCCAUCCAGUUUGUGCAGCCCAAACUAAGGCCAAAUAGUAUUAGAUAGGAAAAUAAAUCUUAAACCCACACCUAGUUCGCGAAAAUUACAUUCUUUUUGAUUAUUUGCUUGGUUGCUUUUGUUUGGCCUCUUUUAUUCUGCGGUAAGGGGCCGGAGCUCUGCGCUGUCCGGCUCCUUUAGCAGCCCUACAAAGGGUGCCUAUCCCUGGGGCCUAGAAAUUUUUAUACCACGUGACCCUGCCUCACCUGCCCCACCCCCCCUCCCGGGCCAGGCUGCCACUGUGUCAAAGGGAGACGGGCUUCUCCCUCCUCCUGAUUGGUACAUACGCUCGCCGUGGUUCCGGAGUGGGUGUGGCCAGAGGUUUGACUGGGUCCGCAGUGGCGGGUUCAGAGCCUGCGGUGUCCGCACCUGCUUGUCCCUGACCAGCCCAGCCCUGGGAGCCCGCGGCGCCGCGGCGCGUCUGAAGAAAUGGUUCUCACACCCACAAAACUAGAGGAUGAAAUGUCUCUGCAGAUGAAGACUGUGGAGAAGGAACAGUAGCUGACCGAGAAGGGCAACAGCUUCCUCCAAAAUCUCCAUCUGAUUGAAGGUCCAAUGAGGUAAGUCAGGGCUGAGCAUGGGGACUGUCUGCUGACUUCCUCAGGCCA
Molecule: long non-coding RNA, 656 nt
Filed under: Chinchilla lanigera (long-tailed chinchilla)
Lineage: Eukaryota; Metazoa; Chordata; Mammalia; Rodentia; Chinchillidae
Description: lncRNA (ENSCLAG00000029143.1)
Source: RNAcentral